This 392-nucleotide ribosomal RNA is filed under the name uncultured bacterium. RNAcentral's name for it is "partial 16S ribosomal RNA". It matches the Rfam family "Bacterial small subunit ribosomal RNA", at positions 523 to 918 of the family's 1533-position model. The record is from RNAcentral.
AUACGGAGGAUCCGAGCGUUAUCCGGAUUUAUUGGGUUUAAAGGGUGCGCAGGCGGCCAUUUAAGUCAGCGGUUAAAUCGUGGGGCUCAACCCCAUUCUGCCGUUGAUACUGGGUGGCUUGAUUGCGGUCGAGGUUGGCGGAAUUCGUUGUGUAGCGGUGAAAUGCAUAGAUAUGACGAAGAACACCGAUUGCGUAGGCAGCUGGCCAGACCGCAAAUGACGCUCAUGCACGAAAGUGCGGGGAUCGAACAGGAUUAGAUACCCUGGUAGUCCGCACAGUAAACGAUGAAUACUUGUUUUCGGCGAUAUAAUGUCGGAGGCAAAGCGAAAGCGAUAAGUAUUCCACCUGGGGAGUACGCCGGCAACGGUGAAACUUAAAGGAAUUGACGGGG